Episyrphus balteatus (marmalade hoverfly) is the source of this 463-nucleotide long non-coding RNA. RefSeq lists it as uncharacterized. The record is from RefSeq and is a predicted model, not a curated record. NCBI's taxonomy places the organism in Eukaryota, Metazoa, Arthropoda, Insecta, Diptera, Syrphidae. The transcript has 3 exons.
AAUACCACUCUUUCGCAGCACCGGAUAGUAGUAGACGAAAUUCCCUUAAUACCUCGGCCCAUGGACAUGCAUAAAGACUCUGGAGCAUCUCUACCUGGAACACGAAUUCUUCUACCCAAUGAUGGUGUGAACUACAUGGUGGCGGUGGAUAGUACCCACCUUGAGGCUGAUGUGUACCUCCAAACCCUUCCUGGAAGUCAGGUUCGGACCUAGUGUCGCGGAAUGACCGUUGAUUACCUCCUCUAGGAUUCCCUACCGGAACAAAAGGUCUAGAAGCAGGAUUUAAUUGCGUGGGAUUUGCUACUGCAGAGCUCAUAAGGAUGAAAAUGCGAACACGACUUCAAUUUGAUUUCCUAUCAACACAAUCAACAUUACUAUUUAAAUAUAACAAACAAAAAUGAAAAAAAACUAUAACAUUUAAAAAAAAAUUAUGUAACUAAUAAAAACGGGGUUGGGUACGAUU